Molecule: ribosomal RNA, 253 nt
Filed under: uncultured bacterium
Lineage: Bacteria
Description: partial 16S ribosomal RNA
Rfam family: Bacterial small subunit ribosomal RNA
Source: RNAcentral
GACGUAGGGCGCGAGCGUUGUCCGGAUUUAUUGGGCGUAAAGAGCUCGUAGGCGGCUUGUCGCGUCGACUGUGAAAACCCGCGGCUCAACUGCGGGCCUGCAGUCGAUACGGGCAGGCUAGAGUUCGGUAGGGGAGACUGGAAUUCCUGGUGUAGCGGUGAAAUGCGCAGAUAUCAGGAGGAACACCGAUGGCGAAGGCAGGUCUCUGGGCAUUAACUGACGCUGAGGAGCGAAAGCAUGGGGAGCGAACAGG